This is a non-coding RNA of Vicia faba (fava bean), 333 nucleotides long. Lineage: Eukaryota; Viridiplantae; Streptophyta; Magnoliopsida; Fabales; Fabaceae. The record is from the annotation of a GenBank genome assembly.
AUGAGGGAAUUUACUGAAUAUUCGGAUUUAGUUGCAGUCAUUCUAGUGCCAGAACAAAUAACUUAUCCUGAAAUUAAUUCCACAACCUUUAAUCAUGGGCGUGGUGGAUUUAAUCGUUUUAAGAGACGUGGUGGUCAUGCUCGUUUUGAUUGUAAUAAUGGUCGUGCUCGUUUUGAUGGUCACAGUCAAGGAGGAUAUCAUGGUCGAAACCUUUUCCACGGUCGAAACUAUUUUCGUGGUAGAGGACGUGGAAGAGGUCAUAUGAAUACUUUUAGAUUUCCUAGAUAUGACCAAAAUAAUUGGAAUCAUCAAGAAAAGGGUAAGUAUACCUAA